CCGGACAAAGAUCGCGCCGGUGCCUCGAAAGAGGCUUAAAAGGGAACACGGUAAGGGGGGCAUCCGCCUCCCGAAGCCGAGGCUGUCCCUGCAACUGUAAGCGGCGAGCGCGAUGCACAUCGCCCCACCUCACAAGCAGGAGGGUGCAAGUCACUGGGCGGACGCUAAGUCAUGCGAGCUCCGGGAAGGCCGUGCAUCAAGCGACGACCCGCGAGCCAGGAGACCUGCCGGCGUAUGGUCGCUCUU
This 246-nucleotide non-coding RNA is filed under the name Sphingobium sp. EP60837. Lineage: Bacteria; Pseudomonadati; Pseudomonadota; Alphaproteobacteria; Sphingomonadales; Sphingobiaceae. The record is from RNAcentral. RNAcentral also lists the same sequence under 1 other name.